CUUGGUCCAUUUAGAGGAAGUAAAAGUCGUAACAAGGUCUCCGUAGGUGAACCUGCGGAGGGAUCAUUACACAAAUAUGAAAGGCAGACCCCCAUUGGGGCGUCUGUCUGCCAUAUUCACCCAUGUCUUUUGCGUACUACUUGUUUCCUUGGCGGGUUCGCCCGCCAAUUGGACCCAAUUAAACCUUUUUUGUAAUUGCAAUCAGCGUCAGCAAAACAAUGUAAUAAAUUACAACUUUCAACAACGGAUCUCUUGGUUCUGGCAUCGAUGAAGAACGCAGCGAAAUGCGAUAAGUAGUGUGAAUUGCAGAAUUCAGUGAAUCAUCGAAUCUUUGAACGCACAUUGCGCCCUUUGGUAUUCCAAAGGGCAUGCCUGUUCGAGCGUCAUUUGUACCCUCAAGCUUUGCUUGGUGUUGGGCGUUUUUGUCUCGGGUCCGCCCCAAGACUCGCCUUAAAAUCAUUGGCAGCCGGCCUACUGGUUUCGGAGCGCAGCACAUUUUUGCGCUUUGUCCAGUCGUGGUCUGCGUCCAUGAAGCGAAUAUUUUCAACGUUGACCUCGAU
RNAcentral lists this ribosomal RNA (560 nucleotides) under Drechslera sp. F72. RNAcentral describes it as "eukaryotic LSU rRNA". The stretch from base 233 to 386 matches the Rfam family "5.8S ribosomal RNA". The record is from RNAcentral. Lineage: Eukaryota; Fungi; Ascomycota; Dothideomycetes; Pleosporales; Pleosporaceae.